AAAUUUAAUGCUCUGAACUUGAACGGUCGCAUUUGGACACUGAUUGCAGGUGGUGGUGCGAGUGUCAUAUCUGCUGACACAGUAAACUUAACUUUCUUCCAAGUCUUUUAGAUAAGUUGUAAAAGUUAAUUAAGAUGAUAACAGAUCAAUCUUAUUUCCUUGUUCGAGAUUCGGGAUAUGCCGCAGAGCUAGGAUAUUAUGAAGGGUACAGUGAAGCUUCCAAAGAGGAGGAGGUUUUGCAAUAUGCUAGAUUGGUUUUGGAUGAAUCCAAAUCAAAGGCUGCAGUGGUGAACAUUUAUGUUUGGAGAGGUGGUCCAAACUGGGGUUGCCAUAAUGUGUGAUCUAGGUUCAGAGCUUGGUCUUCCAAUUGAGCGGUGUGCAGACAUGCAGUCUACGCCAACGCUCGUCUCUUACCGGUGAGCCGAGCCACGGACAGAUAGGGGGCAGGCGGCGGUGGUGGUCGGAGGAGAAGUGAAACAGACGGCGCUGGAUCGGGGAGGCUGUGGAGGAGCUCAGCAGCAAUGACGAGCAGGUGGAAGGAGAGCAACAGUAGUGGAGGUGCGUGAAGAAGACUAGAAGAAUGGGGAACCACCUCCGGAUUCAGCUCAAGUUGUCACUCUGAAUCUGCUCCCUCUCUUGGUUGGGAAGACUCCAGAAGGAUUCAUCCGUGUUGUGAUGGGUUGAGGAAGGCGGAGAGGACCAGCGAUUACAGUUUGUUGGGUUCAAACUUCAAACAUAGCAGUGCCAAUGUCGGCGCCUUGGCAAGUGAGUCUCGACGUGAGUGCUGGUGUCAAGGUGACUUCAACGAGCACAUCAGCAGUAGCUGCUGUAUGUGCGGCAAUGGAGGCCUCGAGACUCUGGUACAAAUGUGUUGGUUCAAGAGCCAUUGGAAAUGUCCACUUCAUAGGAGUUGGCUUGGAUCGUUAAAUUUAAAUUUAAAAAUAUUAUGUCCACUUCAUAGGAGUUGGCAAAAUUCAUGAUCCAUCCAUGAGAUUUGAUUUCCUUGGCAAAUUAUGAAGGUUUCUACAGUGAUAACAACUUGCUGUUUGGUAAUGCAUUUUAAUUUUAGUGUAUAUCAUAGUUAAGCUGGAUGAUGUUUCAAUAAGUCAAAGCAUAUACUUGGAGUAUUAUUACUGCCUCUUCACUUUAAUUGCAGUGUUCCUGUCGGAAGUUCAUCCAUGGCUCCUAGACAGAUGUAGGCCUUGGUUGGAGCAACUUUGCAUGCACAAAAAGCGUGGAACUCGCUCUUGGUGAGGGCACUGUAAUGAUAUGAAGGAGAGCCUUUUUAUUUCCAGCCUGAUCGACUACAUAAAUUCUGGUCUAUGGGUCCAAGCCGUAGAUAUUGUAGUGUUUGUUGGAACUGGCUGCAAAAAUGUGUCCCCCAAUAUUGUAGGGGGCCUGCGAUAUGCUUGAGGGGGAACUUAAUCUGACACUUUAGAUCUGUUCAGUUAUAUGUGAUCGGGAUACUAAUCAAGAACACAAAUAUAUACAUCAACUGCUGACAACGCGCUGAAAUUAGAGAAAAGAGGAUAUCGUGGAUGGCUUGCAAAACGGCUGAACCAUGAUAUGAUUGGUGUUCAUAAGUACAUCGAUCAACAUCAACAAGAAGUUAGGGUAUACAUGGGAUAUUUUGAAGUUGCAUUCGUAUUAUUUCAGUUUUAUAAACAUGGAUAUUUUGAAGUUUCAUUUGUAUUAUUUCAGUUUUAUAAUAGUUGGUUAAGUUUUUGGAUGUAUACAUUAGUGUGAUGUUUCUUGCAUGUAGCCGGUGGAGCUACCGUCAUAGUGGUGACAUGGAGGGUGAGUGGUUGGUAAAGUGUUGAAUAUUGUAUUUUUGGUUAUCAAGGAGUGACAUGUUUGAUUCGAGCUGCUCGA
Molecule: long non-coding RNA, 1872 nt
Organism: Lolium perenne
Lineage: Eukaryota; Viridiplantae; Streptophyta; Magnoliopsida; Poales; Poaceae
Source: RefSeq, a predicted model, not a curated record